RNAcentral lists this microRNA precursor (109 nucleotides) under bovine alphaherpesvirus 1. RNAcentral describes it as "Bovine alphaherpesvirus 1 pre-miRNA Bhv1-mir-B1". Lineage: Duplodnaviria; Heunggongvirae; Peploviricota; Herviviricetes; Herpesvirales; Orthoherpesviridae. The record is from RNAcentral.
GACACGAGAUCUGGACGACGAGGUCCUCGGCGUUGGCGGCCACCGGGAACGCCAGCCCGUCGCCCGCGCACGACAGGCACUCAAUGUCAAAGCACAGCAGCUUGUAGUC